UGAUCUUUCUUUAAUUGCUGUGUGACACUGGACGUCAGCACCAAAAUGGGCAAUGAGAACAGUAGUGCAGAAAAUCAGAGCGCUCCACAGGAUUCAGAAUUAGACCACCCACCUGGUAAGGGGCACGGCAUAAGAAGCAACCCCCAGGAAAACAGCGUUGGAGGAUCUGGAGCUCAGGACAUCUCAGAGCUUCUUCCUGCUGCUGUGCGGCUGGCCGAGAGCACAUCUCCCUUGAUUCCAGAACGUACAAGCGUCAGUAAUGAAGGCAUCAGUAGCUCCAGCGCUGAAGAUUUGUCCGAUCCAAAUUCAAGCGUGGUGCCUGCAGAGGUGACAGGACAGAGCAGUGCCUUGCAAGACCAUGGAGGACAAGCAGGCUGUAGUGUCCUACAGCAGACAGCGGAAGGAAAAGAGGGAAGUCUGCCUACCCCAAUGCCUUUAGCAGGCUCUUCCGAAGAAGAAGUCGCAGCAGAUCUUGCAAGCAGCGAUGACAAAUUGCCAGCCUCAAACUGCAAUGAAGCUGUGCCACCGCCGGGUCCAGUGAGUGACAAAGAAGAGGGAAUAGCACGUGGCGUAUCUGAGGACAGAGGCCCCGAGUGUGACCCUACUGCACCUGCUUCUUUGAAAACCUGUGAGGAGGAUCCCAGAAACCCAAGCCUGCAGCCCAGCCCUCCUACAGCAAUGCAAGGAGUCACAGAAAUUAAUUUGAGUGAGUUAGGGGUGUUGGGGCAGAGUGAGCAGCUGGGUGACAUGAGGGAAGCACAUGUCAGCACGUUUCCCCAGGGCAAAGAAGCAGGGGAUUAUUUUACUGCUCAGGAGGCCGAGCAGGAGCUGGGAGUUUUGGAAGUAGGUCAGCCGCAGGCUGUAAUGCAGCAAGGUAGACAGGACACAGAUGGUGGAGAAGGUCUGCUAAUGAAAAAGGAAACCUUAAUCCUAAAUUAUCCAGCAACAGGAGGCUCAGAUGGUGAAAAAUUUGGAGCAAUUGCAAACACUCAGGGUUUCGCUGUGAGGCCUGAGAUCAGUGAGGUCUGUAGUACACAGAAGGGGGCUGUAACAACAGCUAGAAGGAACGAGGUAAACCCAGCUCUGUCCGGGAGCCAAGGAGAGCAAUCCGAAGCCUGUACUUCAGUGUCAGAGUUACCCCUUAAUGCGCCAAGUCUCCUCCCGGUACCAAAGCCAGAAGAACCUUUGAGGGAAUAUGUGCCUGGAAAUGACUAUCAAGAUCCGAUGAAAAGCGAGGCAAUGAAAAUAGCCUCUGAAAAAAAUGAACCCAGUUUUGAAAGAGAGCUUCAAAAGGAGGAUGAGCUUGUUAGUGCUGAGCACUUCAGUGCGCCUUUAUCACUUAAGCAAGAGGAAGAACAAAAAUCAGCUGUCACAACUGAAAGCCAAAAAGAUGAAGCCAGUAGCGAUGAAAUCAUAAAAGCUGAUGAUGUGUCUAGAGAAAGCACCACGCUUUCUGAAGCAGAAACCAUUACCAAUCCCACCAAGGAAAUUUCCCCGGUAGAUAAAAGAUUAUUACUGGGAGAAUAUGCAUUAAGUACUUCCCUGAGCAGAGCCGCGGAGCCGAAUCAAAAGGGAGCUGAUGUGAGUGUAUCGGGAGGGAAAAACAGAAUGAGAGCAGAGGAGGCACACGUGGCAGAAACCAGUGCAUUACCUGAAGGGCCAAGUGGGGCAGAAAGACAACUGUUGAGCUCUCUUAGUAGCCACGAGCGGGAUGCAGAAGAAACCCCCUUGAGCCCCAAUCCCAGAGAACCCAGUCUUUGUGAAAAGGCUUCAGCAGGCGGCCCAAAGGAAGAAGCUGUGGGAAAGCCCCUGAAUUUAGGCAGUGACUUUAAGCCACCUGAAGACCACUCAGACCCUCUGGGCUGUACGCCUGAACAGCGACUGAGCGAGGAGAAAGCAGCUGCCACAGAUGACCCGGAGAACAAGGGCGGCUUUGCGCUGGCGGCCUCGCCGCAGCGUCCGAGGGCAGGAUGCCCGCCGAGCGUUGAUUGCUUUCACUCUGAGACAGAAGACACAACUUUGGGCCAGCCAGGCUCUAAUGGGGCUGAAGAGGUUUGUUUAGCUGGGGCACACAGUUCGCCGCUCCUCCGCCCUGAGAACAAUAAUGUUCUGCAGAGUAAGCAGGAUGAGUCCUGGGAAGAGACUUUUCCUAGAGAAGCCGCGUUAGGAACUGGGUACAAAACGGAGAGUCGAGGCAAGCCUGGGAGCUAUAGCGAGUCAGAAGAAAGUGCAAAAACGUCCGGAUCAAUGCUUGAACGUCAGGGCUUAAAUGAAUUGGCAGGGGCCGUGGGUUGCAUUGCUGCUCAAGCUGAGGAGGACCCACAAGUUUUGGAAACCGGAGAGCAGUGCGGGCACCUCAGCGACGUGCCUCGCGGCACUGCCACCUGCAGCACUGCCGGGGACAGCGAAGAGCACGAGGCCGCUGUUCAGCGGGAGAAGCACCACGCCGCGGUGAGAAGUUUUGUGGAGGACAAAGGUUUGGCACUGAAAACUGAGCACGAGUCUGAUAUGCUGAUGCAAGCUCGGCAGGAGCAAGGGGCUGCAGAAAGUCACGGAAACGUGCAGAUGGCUUGUGCAGGAGUCGGUAGGGCAGAGCUCGUCCCUUGGCCACCUCAGGAGGAAGGAGUGGGUGACGGCACCAGUGGGGACAAGUGCAGCUCUUCGGUGACCCUGGAGUGCAGUGUUGGAGAUCUGCAGGAAAACGCGGAUGUUCCAGCUGCUCUUCCCCACGUGGAGCAGAUGGAGAAGUCGGUGAGUGCUGGUGACAGAGACCGGGCUUCGAACGCAGGACACAAGCAGCAGACACACCAAAGCAGUCCGACAGGAGUCGCAAGAGCAGAUGAUCAGGAACACACAGGAAGACCUCUAAAACCUGAGCUGGAAGUAAAGCAUCACAGCGACAUACCAGAACUGCCUCGAAACAUUUCCGACAACCUUAAUAAAGAAUCUGCUGGGCUAGGUCCAGCCCAGCAUCACCCUGGCACAGCAGCAGAAGAGGACGAGGCUGGGAGUAGUGCCGGGGUGCCAGAGGAUGCGUGCAGCCGUGAACACCUGCAAAACAUUUCUGGUGUGAUCGUACUUAAUUUGCAAGAGUGCAACGAGCAAAACAAAACCAAUCUCGAGGCAGAAGAAAACUGCUGCAGUAAGCAAAACUCAAACAAGCUCAAGCAGGGCAAUAAUUCUUUGAUCUCAGCUAGUCAGCAUGAAGAAGCAUGUCAGAGAGAUACGUUUUCUAAAGAAUCUGACAAGAAGGAGCAGCCAGUCAGCAUAUGCAGGAUAAAAGACAGCACUGGUGAAAGCCAUGCUUCUGCUGUAAAUGCUCUUCCAGGGACGCAGAAUUCAGCAAGUGCCACUAACAUAGCACAGACUUUGCCAAGUGCUCAUGAAAUAGCACAUACUUCUGAUAAUUUUGAGAAAAACGAUCCUCAAAUAUCUAGCCCAGAAACUCAAGAGAAGCUGUCAUUAGUGGCAAAAAGCUCAGGAGAGACCGAGGGUCUGGCUGCCGACGGGGGACCCGUCCAGACAGAUGGAAAUGUGCAGCUGAGUUGUGAGGACAGUGCUGCUGUUGACGAAACAAGCAAUGUGAAAAGCGAUAAAAGUCCAGGGGCAAAAGGAUGUCGUUCCCUGUUACAGGCUCACGGGGAAGCAAUUCCCACCGAUAAGCCUUAUAAACCCAGCUGCAUUCAAAAGACACCAGAGGAGCCUGGGUUUCCUCAAGCAAAUUUGACGGCCCCCCCUCCGCUGACCUCUGCAGUCAAUCAUCCUGGCCAGCAAGCUGGAAGCAAUGCAAACAGCGGCACUGGGGGGGAAUUACUAAAUAAUGAGCUGGGAGCUGUAGCAUGCCAGAACGCCUUAGAAAGCAACUCCAAUUUGCAGAUGGCUCCAGGUUCUCAGGUGUCUGUGCAUUUAGGUCCUCCACCUGGGGUAAGCGCAGGUGAAAGAGCCAACUCAGAACACAGCUCUGCAGGGGGCAGGGACGUCAGCGGCAAAGAUGUUCCAAACCAAAGUUUUCAGGGAGAAGGAGACAGAAGUUUAACCCCGCCAGAGGCUUUAAACACGGGGCAGGGUUCUGGAAACUUAUCACAGUUUAAUUCGGAGAAGCUGAAGAAAGAGCUAUGUGCAAUUAAAUCCAAAGAAACAAAAGGCGAUGUAAGCUUCAAAGCCCAGCAGAGUGACAGUUCAGCCGAGGCUCUGUUAGCUCUCCCUGCUCCAGAAGGGAAGCUGCUGAGCCUUUCAUCUGUUGGUAAACAAGGCGGCUGUAAUGAGGAAAUCGCAACCGGUAUCUGCGUAGAUGACAAGUACGGUAUGAUCUUAGAGAAACCUGGGAAUUUAGAAAAAAUGGAAGAGGUAUUAAAGGAGAAUAACAGCACAACCAGGGCAGAGAUCAGUAUUUCCAGGCAGUCUGCGGAGAAGGAGCAUGAGGUUCUGACUCCCAGCUCUCUGGGCAUCGGCUCCAGCCUCCCGGACUUCAGGGAGCACAUCAGCCAGAUAUUUAAGAAAACAGUCCACAGCACGCUGAGUGCUGAAUUACCCCAGUUUGCACCCGAAAACCAUGCAGGCUUCAAGCAGAGCACAGUGGCCGAGGGUAGGGCGCAGCUGUGCGGCGCUGAGAACUUGUCAGGAUCGGUCGAGGGGGGCAAAGCAGCUCCUGGGGGCACCUCGGAAGCAGAGGGGCCAGAGCUGCCUUUAGCUGCUGAGGCUUCCUGCACUGCUCCCGCACCUCUGCAACAAGAAAAUGCAGUGCCACCAGCGAGUCUCCGGGACGCUGAGAAAAGCAGGCAGCCUGCUGGCUGCUUAGCAAUGGUCCCGAGGUCGGAGGGCUCUGCACCUGCUGAGCGCUCUCUGGAAAACCUGCAGAAGCCAACGGGGAACGCUGAGCACCCCGAGAGCAGCGAGAUGGAAAGAAAGGCAGGCGUGUGUGCUAGGGGUGUUGAUCCUGAAUCGCUAAUGAGCUUGGAGAGAAAGAAGCAAGGACCAGCUUCAUCUGCCGGGGCAGCAGCUGAGAACUUCCCUGCCUAUUCUGACAGGGAGCCACAACCCAGCGGAGCUGGGAUCUCUACAGGCGGCAUGCGGGAGAGUGACUUAGACGAUGCUGCUACCGCAGAGGAAAAUAAUUUAAUUACAGAGGGUACUGCAGAGCCGGUUUCAUCUGAAGAGGAUGUAAGUUGUCAGCCCGAACACUGCCGGGAUCCUGAGCCAAAUGAAGAGGGGAAAAAUGAGUACAGUGGUCCAGACACUGCCAAGAGCAUCUCUGAUGUGGCAGCUUCAGCGCUUCUUCCGAGAGGAUCUUACAGUUGUGAAAAACUGCCAGACAACUUUAAUGUGUUACCUGGGGAAAAUCAGGAGACACGCGUUCCUGGCAAUCUUAUGCAUGACAUUAGGUCUCAGAAUGACACAGAGAUGAUACAGGAUGAGCCGGGAAAUAGGAAGUGCCUGGAAACAUCAGAAAGUACACAAGAUCCACAGCAAGAAAAGAAAGGGACCACGCACGGGUUAAUGGAUUACUUAAAAAACGAAGCCAGCCAGAACGGUUGCUUGCAAACUGACUCUCAGCUAGAAUCUGGCAAUAUGACUGAGGGCGAUAUAAAAGAAAACAGUGGCACAGUGUCAAGCACAGCAAAGGCAGGUAACGAAACAACUGGAGACAUCCCUGAAACAGGUACUGCGAGGAUGUUAGUCACCGGCGAGGGUGGCUUAGCUUUAAACACAAGGACUGAAGAGCUGCAGACAGAGCUGUGCAAAAAUCCCUCUGCACCUAUUGCCGGGAUGGAGCAGGGCGAGUGUUCUGAGUGUGCAGACCUCCCUGGGGCUGCAAAUCAGCCGGGCGAGAUGAAUUCAGAACAUGAAGGCUCACCUCAGGAUGCCACAAGAAAGCUAUCCCCGCUUGCGUUUAUGGAGCCUGCGACACUUGACCUCAGCAAACUUCCAGACGUGGCUGUGGCAGGACUGCCUACUGAAAGGUAUUUACUUUAA
This 5973-nucleotide long non-coding RNA is filed under the name Anser cygnoides (Swan goose). RNAcentral's name for it is "lncRNA (ENSACDG00005002417.1)". Lineage: Eukaryota; Metazoa; Chordata; Aves; Anseriformes; Anatidae. The record is from RNAcentral.